GCCAGCAUGUUGAAACUGGUAGCCAAGCAAGUUUCAAAAACUUGUGCCGAAAGGUGUGGGGGUUCAAGUCCCUCUGCUGGUA
Molecule: transfer RNA, 82 nt
Filed under: Nitrospirota bacterium
Lineage: Bacteria; Pseudomonadati; Nitrospirota
Description: Nitrospirae bacterium (sediment metagenome) tRNA-Leu
Rfam family: tRNA
About the family: Transfer RNA (tRNA) molecules are approximately 80 nucleotides in length.
Source: RNAcentral